AAAAAGUUUAUUAAAUCGAUCCUCAAUUUUUCAUUCGAGUUUAAGUCAUUUAAAUUUUGUAUGAAUUGAAAGGAACUAUUGGUGGCUUUAAGUCUAAUGGAUGGAGUUAAAAUUUACCACCUUUAUUAUAUAAAAAUAAUUUCAGGUCAAUUUACAUGGUUUCUUUUUGAGUCACUUACAAAAUUAUUUUUAUAAAAUUUUUAUUUUAAA
RNAcentral lists this unclassified non-coding RNA (210 nucleotides) under Hevea brasiliensis (rubber tree). The record is from RNAcentral. Lineage: Eukaryota; Viridiplantae; Streptophyta; Magnoliopsida; Malpighiales; Euphorbiaceae.